RNAcentral lists this long non-coding RNA (598 nucleotides) under Numida meleagris (helmeted guineafowl). RNAcentral describes it as "lncRNA (ENSNMEG00000002306.1)". Lineage: Eukaryota; Metazoa; Chordata; Aves; Galliformes; Numididae. The record is from RNAcentral.
GUCCUGGGGUUUCUGGGAUGUGCGUCUGACAGAAAAAAUUCAGGACUUAUGGGAAGCCUCUAGCCUUCUAAAAUGGCAAACAGAAGCCAGCCUGAUCAUUUGUGUGUGUUAAUUCCCUGUAAACAAAUUUUGUUUAGGUUACCUGAUGGAUUUUAAUAUUUGCAAUGCAGAUUGCAUGAAUUAAGACUGAUGGUUCCUCAUUUUUAUGCAUUUGACGUAGUGAGUUUACCAUUUUAAUGUACGACGUCACUGAUCUUCUGGGUGCUUAGAAAUCAUCAGUGUCUCUGAAGAGUGACAGUGAACAGGAAUAUGGUCAUUUCAGGUACGAGUGCUUCAGAGCGAAACUGCAGGAAAGGGAAUAUUCCAGGAUCCAAAGGGUUAUCAACUGCCUGCGAUGCACUUAUUUUUGCUUCACUUUCUACCUUUAAAACUAUACCCACUUGUCAAAAACGAAGAAGCUUGUUUGUCGAAGUGAAGCUCACAUCAGCUCCUGGAAAAUCAACAGUGACUUAAGGCACUUAGCUUUACAAGUCAAGGCUUUUGAAACAUAGAUAUCUCAUUUGUAAAAGUUUGGAUAUUAAAAUGUCAUUUAAACUAC